RNAcentral lists this ribosomal RNA (331 nucleotides) under uncultured bacterium. RNAcentral's name for it is "bacterial SSU rRNA". It matches the Rfam family "Bacterial small subunit ribosomal RNA", at positions 1 to 334 of the family's 1533-position model. The record is from RNAcentral.
GUGAGUAGUUCAGAGUUUGAUCCUGGCUCAGGAUGAACGCUGGCGGCGUGCAUAACACAUUCAAGUCGAACGGUGAACCCUUCGGGGGAUCAGUGGCGGACGGGUGAGUAACGCGUGAGCAACCUGCCCUUGUGUGGGGGAUAACAUCUGGAAACGGAUGAUAAUACCGCAUAACGCACGGAGGUCGCAUGACCACUGUGCCAAAGAUUUAUUGCGCAAGGAUGGGCUCGCGUUGGAUUAGAUAGUUGGUGAGGUAACGGCUCACCAAGUCGACGAUCCAUAGCCGGACUGAGAGGUUGAACGGCCACAUUGGAACUGAGAAACGGUCCAG